UAAGUAUGGACGGGAUAAGUGCUGAAAGCAUCUAAGCAUGAAGCCCCCCUCAAGAUGAGAUUUCCCAACUUCGGUUAUAAGAUCCCUCAGAGAUGAUGAGGUUAAUAGGUUCGAGGUGGAAGCGUGGUGACACGUGGAGCUGACGAAUACUAAUCGAUCGAAGACUUAAUCAA
This 173-nucleotide ribosomal RNA is filed under the name Staphylococcus hominis. RNAcentral's name for it is "partial 23S ribosomal RNA". It matches the Rfam family "Bacterial large subunit ribosomal RNA", at positions 2750 to 2925 of the family's 2925-position model. The record is from RNAcentral. Lineage: Bacteria; Bacillati; Bacillota; Bacilli; Caryophanales; Staphylococcaceae.